GAGUUUGAUCCUGGCUCAGGAUGAACGCUGGCGGCGUGCCUAAUACAUGCAAGUCGAGCGAACGGACGAGAAGCUUGCUUCUCUGAUGUUAGCGGCGGACGGGUGAGUAACACGUGGAUAACCUACCUAUAAGACUGGGAUAACUUCGGGAAACCGGAGCUAAUACCGGAUGAUAUUUUGAACCGCAUGGUUCAAAAGUGAAAGACGGUCUUGCUGUCACUUAUAGAUGGAUCCGCGCUGCGUUAGCUAGUUGGUAAGGUAACGGCUUACCAAGGCAACGAUGC
RNAcentral lists this ribosomal RNA (284 nucleotides) under uncultured microorganism. RNAcentral's name for it is "partial 16S ribosomal RNA". It matches the Rfam family "Bacterial small subunit ribosomal RNA", at positions 9 to 282 of the family's 1533-position model. The record is from RNAcentral.